CCAGACUCCUACGGGAGGCAGCAGUGAGGAAUAUUGGUCAAUGGUCGGGAGACUGAACCAGCCAAGCCGCGUGAGGGAUGAAGGUACAGAGUAUCGUAAACCUCUUUUGUCAGGGAACAAAGGCGGGGACGUGUCCCCGGAUGAGUGUACCUGAAGAAAAAGCAUCGGCUAACUCCGUGCCAGCAGCCGCGGUAAUACGGAGGAUGCGAGCGUUAUCCGGAUUUAUUGGGUUUAAAGGGUGCGUAGGCGGAAGGUUAAGUCAGCGGUCAAAUGUCGGUGCUCAACACCGGCCUGCCGUUGAAACUGGUUUUCUUGAGUGAGCGAGAAGUAUGCGGAAUGCGUGGUGUAGCGGUGAAAUGCAUAGAUAUCACGCAGAACUCCGAUUGCGAGGGCAGCGCACCGGCGCCCUACUGACGCUCAGGCACGAAAGCGUGGGUAUCGAACAGGAUUAGAUACCCUAGUAUG
This 465-nucleotide ribosomal RNA is filed under the name uncultured bacterium. RNAcentral's name for it is "bacterial SSU rRNA". It matches the Rfam family "Bacterial small subunit ribosomal RNA", at positions 331 to 794 of the family's 1533-position model. The record is from RNAcentral.